This 979-nucleotide ribosomal RNA is filed under the name Arthrobacter nitrophenolicus. Its description in RNAcentral is "bacterial SSU rRNA". It matches the Rfam family "Bacterial small subunit ribosomal RNA", at positions 483 to 1454 of the family's 1533-position model. Lineage: Bacteria; Bacillati; Actinomycetota; Actinomycetes; Micrococcales; Micrococcaceae. The record is from RNAcentral.
AGAAGAAGCGCCGGCUAACUACGUGCCAGCAGCCGCGGUAAUACGUAGGGCGCAAGCGUUAUCCCGAAUUAUUGGGCGUAAAGAGCUCGUAGGCGGUUUGUCGCGUCUGCCGUGAAAGUCCGGGGCUCAACUCCGGAUCUGCGGUGGGUACGGGCAGACUAGAGUGAUGUAGGGGAGACUGGAAUUCCUGGUGUAGCGGUGAAAUGCGCAGAUAUCAGGAGGAACACCGAUGGCGAAGGCAGGUCUCUGGGCAUUAACUGACGCUGAGGAGCGAAAGCAUGGGGAGCGAACAGGAUUAGAUACCCUGGUAGUCCAUGCCGUAAACGUUGGGCACUAGGUGUGGGGGACAUUCCACGUUUUCCGCGCCGUAGCUAACGCAUUAAGUGCCCCGCCUGGGGAGUACGGCCGCAAGGCUAAAACUCAAAGGAAUUGACGGGGGCCCGCACAAGCGGCGGAGCAUGCGGAUUAAUUCGAUGCAACGCGAAGAACCUUACCAAGGCUUGACAUGAACCGGACCGCCGCAGAAAUGUGGUUUCCCCUUUGGGGCUGGUUUACAGGUGGUGCAUGGUUGUCGUCAGCUCGUGUCGUGAGAUGUUGGGUUAAGUCCCGCAACGAGCGCAACCCUCGUUCUAUGUUGCCAGCACGUGAUGGUGGGGACUCAUAGGAGACUGCCGGGGUCAACUCGGAGGAAGGUGGGGACGACGUCAAAUCAUCAUGCCCCUUAUGUCUUGGGCUUCACGCAUGCUACAAUGGCCGGUACAAAGGGUUGCGAUACUGUGAGGUGGAGCUAAUCCCAAAAAACCGGUCUCAGUUCGGAUUGGGGUCUGCAACUCGACCCCAUGAAGUCGGAGUCGCUAGUAAUCGCAGAUCAGCAACGCUGCGGUGAAUACGUUCCCGGGCCUUGUACACACCGCCCGUCAAGUCACGAAAGUUGGUAACACCCGAAGCCGGUGGCCUAACCCCUUUGUGGGAGGGAGCC